Small RNA from Penicillium solitum, 70 nucleotides. It matches the Rfam family "bZIP non canonical Hac1/Xbp1 intron". From Rfam's summary of the family: bZIP intron RNA is a non-canonical intron that was first reported in HAC1 gene in yeast and XBP1 gene in Metazoa. NCBI's taxonomy places the organism in Eukaryota, Fungi, Ascomycota, Eurotiomycetes, Eurotiales, Aspergillaceae. The record is from Rfam.
UGAGGCCUCCGACGUGACACAACAUCCUGCAGCGGUGUUGUGUGACCUGCAGUGUCCGUCGCUGGCCUCG